AGAAUUUACACACACACACACACCCAAAACAGUGAUUUACAAGGUUUGCACGUGGACACCUCCUCUGCAAUUCCCUGUUACUCCUACUUACGUCUCAACAGCUGACUGAACAAGACUGCAAGCCAUUCAGGCAUUAAGCCUCUAUUAAACCCCGCAUCCACUUGUAGAUUAAAAGCAACAACGUUCGUUCUCAAGAAGAUUUGAAAACAAGCCAUACUGAGCAGCUGACAGACUUUCUCCACGAAGAUGCUUUCACACGGAGCUGGUUUUCUGAUGGUGCCUCAGAGAGGCUCUUCUAGCAGUUUUUGUAUAUCCAGAGAACCAACAAAUCCACGGCAAUAGCCUUCUGAUGUGUUAAUAAAACACCAAGCCAUUUCUGGAGCCAUCCUCUGGCAUACAAGUCUGCGCUUAUUUCUUUGGAUGUUGUCAGUGCUUCUGCUGACACCUGAAAGAAGGUUGGGCACCACGUAACAUCAGCUCAGCUGGGCUGCCUGACCACUGCAGAAGAGAAGCGCGGUGAUGCCCAGCUAACCUAGCUGAAAACCUGCUGAAAUCCUCCCUAGCAGCUAAAACUGAAAAACAGAACAUUCAAGCAGUCAAUCCUGAAACAUCACUGCAAUUUGCUGCCGAGCCCACGGGCUCUCGGAAAUAAUGAAUGUUGAAGAAAAAAAGCCACUCUUCAGAAAGGAAGGUCACACAGAUACCUUACGUGGCAGGUAAUGCCUUCUGUAGCCAGUCUUCUCGGACUAUUCCCGUCAGCGCGUGCUGGAGCACAGCUCACGCCUAUUCAAAGAAACAAAAGAAGAUGUCUCAUCUUUCACUUUCUCCUUCUUCCACGCUGCUGGGAAUUACUGCUCUUCUCCAUUCUGCUUCUCACGUGUUAUCUCUUCCACGUUCCUUAGAGCCUGUGCGCUCCAGUAGAUGGCCUCUGGGAGAAUCAGACAUAAUGGACCCAAUGGCUUUUACCCACGUUUUUACCCAGGACACAACCGUGAAGCACAAACAGCACCAAAAUGGCUUCGCUACGGAUGCGUCCUGAAGGCUCUGGAGGAGCCUACGCUGCAGCAUCUCUUCCAGAUGAUCCCUUAUAGAUGUUGCCUCCAGCUACACCCGCUUGGACAGCAGCGUGGUUGAGCACAAGCUUUCAGAGAGCUGCAACAACAAUUGAAGUUACCUACAUCGUUCCCACGUCCCCUCCAAGACCGUAAAAAUGUACUGAUCUCCUAUCACCUGGACUUGUUAUUUCUCGAUUCCUCCUGCUGCUGUUUCCUUUCAGAGGGCUGAGUUAUCAGAAACCAGUAAUUUAUGAGGGGCAGUGCCUUCCUCAAAGACAUCACCUCUGUCCGAUCGGUAUCUGAAAAACCACCGGGAACCUCUCAAUGAAUCUUUCUGGAUUACAUCCUAAGCAGCUGCUGAUUCUGUCUGAGUAAUAACAGAAGAGAAAUCUGAGAGGAGAAACUGCAGCUGCUGCCACAGCAGAGAGAGCUUAUUGUGAAACGCUGAACUCUCUUGUUUUGACUCUUCUUUUUUGCUGUUGUUGUUUUGGUUUUGUGAGUUAGCUUAAAAAACCCUUUGCUUUGGGUUUGUUUUUGUUUCGGGUUUUUUUGUUUUGGGUUUUUUUGUUUUUUUUUUUUUUUUCCUGAGUGGUGAAUUACGAUGGAAAAUCCACACUGGGAAGUUGAAACCUACCCCCAUAACAGGCAGGUUCCCAUGCAACUGCAGAUGACUUCACCUAUUUUGGUUAGCAACAAAUUAUAGAAUGUCCUUCUCAGUUUUGUCCCUUGUGGUAUUUCCAGUGCCUUUCUAUGUGAGUCAGAUUUUGUGCUGGAGGCGCUGAACCACGAUUUGAGCUAUUUGCCACCAGCACUUGCCUCUUUCCAAUGCACACUGGCUCAGGUCACCUAAAUUUCCAGUGCCACACCGCACCAUAAUCAAAGAUAUCCUCUUACCUGUCUCUAUGGCUAAUGCAUUUUGAUACUAAAUCUCUCAGAGCAGGUAUCAUAUUGGAUUUUUAGGUCCUAUUAUAAUACAAUAACUGAUAACGGGGAACACUGUCUGCAGUAAAAUAUGAUUCCCCAGGCGGCACUUAAUGCAACAUUUCAGUCCUUAAUUACUUGAGACAGAAUCAGAGAGGAAAAAGGGAAAGCCCAGAAUAAAUGGCACAUCUGCUCCUGCAGCCCCCAGGAGGACACUGGAGCUGCCAGGGCUGAAGCCCCUGGGGGGCUCCUCUUGCUCAGGAUGCACAGCAGUGCUGCAGGCAUCCUUCUAUCCACCCUGCUGAGCAGGGCCUUACUGCGUCACACUCGGGGCCAAAAGGUUCUGAGGUGAAUAUUCUCAGGGUAGAUCUAAGUCCAGUCCUACCAUGAAAGGAACUUCAGAAAAGCUCAAGGUUUUGAAAAGAAUUACCAAAGCCCUUUGAGGAUCACAAAAUGCUGCUUCCAUUUGCAUUACAAAGCCACGUGACGCUGAGACUAAGAAUUAAAAUAGAGAGAAGCAGAGUACCUGAUAUUGUAACAUACGUGAACUUCAGGUGGCUAUGGGCAGUGGUGAAAGACGCUAGGUGGAAGUGAGGAGGCUUCCAGGUACCAGAAAGCUUCAAGGGGCUGAAACACUUCUGAUUUCCUCCAACCUCCUUCUUCGCUGCCAAACACCUAAACGAAAUAAGAUAAAAACCAAACAAAUGAAAAUAAAAGCUACCCUUGAGCAGGCGGGUUACUUACCCAUCAGGCAGGACAGGGAAGUUAUUUUCCCCUUUAUCUAUUCCAGGCCCUCCUCCAGAAGUGACAUGCUUUUUCCCUCACUGUGAGAGUUCAGUUAAGCACUUAUCAAGCCCUUUCCAAAUCUGGAAACGCUGAUGUGUCGUGGAAAUACUUCUUUGUUCAGGGGUUACUGGGUGAUUAAUUGCAGUAGCUCCUCAAAGGACAACUUAAUCUGCGUUAACAUUUCACUUGCUUCUCAGUGCCACCGCCGUGUGUGUGUGUUGGGAAGGGUGGAUGGAGAAUCAGGAAGUUAAAAUCAUUUUUACUCUUCUUAUCUCUUGAUGCGUCUUAAGCAACUUCGCUAAAUG
RNAcentral lists this long non-coding RNA (3067 nucleotides) under Gallus gallus (chicken). Its description in RNAcentral is "lncRNA (ENSGALG00010008479.1)". The record is from RNAcentral. Lineage: Eukaryota; Metazoa; Chordata; Aves; Galliformes; Phasianidae.